Molecule: long non-coding RNA, 2505 nt
Filed under: Marmota monax (woodchuck)
Lineage: Eukaryota; Metazoa; Chordata; Mammalia; Rodentia; Sciuridae
Source: RNAcentral
CACAUCAUUAUCACCCACAGUUCAUAGUUUACACCAAGGUUCACUCUUAGUGUUGUAAAUUCUGUUUUUAUUUUAAUUAUGUUUUCAAGUGAUAGUACUUUUUGGCAUAUUUUCUUUGCCCUAAAAAUCCUCAGUACUCCCCCAUUCAUCCUUCUCUCCUUUUUAACCCCUCACAACCACUGAUGUUCUCCCCACCCCAUAGUGUUAACAAUUUAUUCACUCUUUUUUGGUGUGUGAGUAGUUCUUCUUUUAUUGUGGUUAAUUUUCUUUUUUAAAAAAAUUUAAUUGAUUUUUUAAAAAAUAAAUGACGGUGAAAUAACAUUACAAUUCUUAUUACACAUAUACAGCACAAUUUUCAUAUCUCUGGUUGUAUAUAAAGUAUGUUGACACCAAUUCGUGUCUUCAUACAUGUACUUUGGAUAAUGAUGUCCAUCACAUUCCACCAUCCUUGCUAACCCCCUGUCUCCUCCCUUUCCCUCCCAACCCUGUUCCCUAUCUAGAGUUCUUACUGUACCCAUAGUUUUUCCUUUUCCAGAAUGUCCUAUAAUCAAAAUCAAGCAAUAUGUAGUCUUUGCAGAUUGGCUUCUUUCAUUUGGUAAUAUGCAUUUAAAUUUUCUCCAGCUGUUCUUGUGGUUUGACAGACUGCUUCUUUUAGCACUUAAAACAUUCUAUUGUCUGGAAGUGCUAUAGUUUAUUUGUUCAUUUGUCUAUUGAAGGACAUUUUCAUUGCUUCUGCAUUCUGGAAACAAUGAAUAAAACCACUAUCAGCAUCCAUUUGCAUAUAUUGUGUGAGCAUAAGUUUUCAAAUCCUUUGAGUAAAUACCAAGGAUCAAGAUUGCUGGGUUGUAUAGUAAGAGUUUGCUUAACAUUUUAAGAAAUCAUCAAUGUGUCUUCUAAAAUGGCUAUAUAGCAUUUUUCAUUCCCUCCAGCAAUGAAUGAGAGUUCUUACUGACUAAUAUUCUUGAGAAUAUUUGGUGUGGUAUUUUGGAUUUUGUCCUUUCUUUAAUGGGUGUGCCAUAGCAGCUCAUUGUCUUAGUUUGUAUUUCUCUGAUGAUACAUGAUGUUAAGCAUCAUUUCAUAUGCUUUGUCAUCUGAAUAUUUUAUUUAGUGAAAAUGUAAAUACUGAUGGCAUCCGUCUUCUUUAGUGAGUUCUCUACACAAGUCUUUGGUACAUUAUUUUUACUAUGUUGCUUAUUUUGUUGACUUUUAGGAUUUUUGUGUACAAAUAAUGUUUUUUUCUUCUUCUUAAUUUAAAUAUUUUAUUUGUUCUUUUUAGAUAUAUAUGACAGAGAGUGUAUUUCAAAAUAUUAUAUAUACAUAGGACAUAACUUAUUCUAAUUAAGAUCGCAUUUUUUAUUGUUCAUGAUGUGGGGUUUCGCUGGUCAUGUAUUCAUAUAUGAACAUAGGAAAGUAUGUCUAAUUCAUUCCUUCUACUGUCUUUCCUAAACCCAUCACCCCUCCCUUCUCUUCAUUCUCCUUUGUCUAUGCCAAUAAAUUUCUAUUCUUCCCAUCCUUCACCCCCACUUAUUGUGUGCUACCAUCCACAUAUCAGAGAAACCAUUCAGCUUUGAUUCUUUGGACUGGUUUCAUCCAAAUGCCAUAAUUUAAUUUUCCUCAUGGCUGAGUAAUAUUCCAUUGUGUAUGUGGUAAGGAGCAUUUAGGUUGGUUCCAUAGCUUUGCUAUUGUGAAUUGAAUGACUAUAAACAUUUUUGUGCCUGCAUCUCUGUAGUAUGCUGAUUUUAAGUCCUUUGGGUAUAAACUGAGGUGUGGGAUAGUUAGGUCAAAUGGUGGUUCCAUUCUAAGUUUUCUGAGGUAUUUCCACACUGCUUUCCAUAGUGGUUACACCAAUUUGCAGUCCCACCAGCAACGUAGGAGUGUACCUUUUUCCCUAUAUCUUCAACAACACUUAAUUAUUGUUACUGUAUUCUUGAUAAUUGCCAUUCUGACUGGAGUGAGAUGGAGUCUCAGUGUACUUUUAAUUUGCAUUUCUCUAAUUGCUAGAGAUGUUAAAUGUUUUUUUUUUCAUAUAUUUGUUGACCAAUCACAUUUCUUUUUUUGUGUGUGUGUGUGUGAAGUGUCCAUUCAGUUCCUAUGCCCAUUUAUUGACUGGAUUAUUGGGGGAGUUUUUGGUGUCAAGUGUUUUUGAGUUCUUUGUAUAACCUGGAGGUUAAUGCUGUAUCUAAGGUGCAGGUGGCAAAGAUUUUCUCCCAUUCUGUAGGCUCUCUCUCCACGUUCUUGAUUGUUUCCUUGGCUGUGAAGAAGUUAUUUAGUUUGAUACUAUCCCGUUUAUUGUUUCUUGAUUUUACUCCUUGUGCUUUAGGAGUCUUGUUGAGGAAGUGGGUUCCUAAGCUGACGUGAUGGAGAGUUGGACCUACUCUUUCUUCAGUAGGUGCACGAUCUCUGGUCUAAUGCCUAGGUCCCUGAUCCACUUAGAAUUGAGAUAAAAAUAAUGGUCCUUAAUCUGAUGUAUCUUUUAUGAAUAUUUUCUCCUAGACUGUGACUUGC